GCGGUGGAGCAUGUGGUUUAAUUCGAUGAUACGCGAGGAACCUUACCUGGGCUCAAAUGUAUGUUGACGUAUUCUGAAAGGGAUACUUCUUCGGACAAUAUACAAGGUGCUGCAUGGUUGUCGUCAGCUCGUGCCGUGAGGUGUCGGGUUAAGUCCCAUAACGAGCGCAACCCCUAUCAUUAGUUGCCAUCAGGUCAAGCUGGGGACUCUAAUGAAACUGCCUACGCAAGUAGUGAGGAAGGUGGGGAUGACGUCAAAUCAGCACGGCCCUUACGUCCAGGGCUACACACGUGCUACAAUGGCUGGAACAAAGGGAUGCGAAGCAGUGAUGUGGAGCGAAACCCAUAAAAACAGUCUCAGUUCGGAUUGAAGUCUGCAACUCGACUUCAUGAAGUCGGAAUCGCUAGUAAUCGCGGAUCAGAACGCCGCGGUGAAUACGUUCUCGGGUUU
This 450-nucleotide ribosomal RNA is filed under the name uncultured Sphingobacteriales bacterium. RNAcentral's name for it is "bacterial SSU rRNA". It matches the Rfam family "Bacterial small subunit ribosomal RNA", at positions 929 to 1381 of the family's 1533-position model. Lineage: Bacteria; Pseudomonadati; Bacteroidota; Sphingobacteriia; Sphingobacteriales. The record is from RNAcentral.